GAUGAAGAACGUAGCGAAAUGCGAUAAGUAAUGCGAAUUGCAGAAUUCCAGAGAGUCAUCGAAUCUUUGAACGCACAUUGCGCCCUUUGGUAUUCCGAAGGGCAUGCCUGUUCGAGCGUCAUUAUCACCCCUCAAGCCCUCCGGCUUGGUGUUGGACGGUUUGGUGGAGGCCUAGCUUCUACCCCUCCCAAAGACAAUGACGGCGGCCUCGUUGGACCCCCGGUACACUGAGUUCUUCACGGGACACGUAUCGGACACACGGGUUUACGGGACACGGUCUGCCUCCCCUCAGGGAGAAUCUUCUCAAGGUUGACCUCGGAUCAGGUAGGGAUACCCGCUGAACUUAAGCAUAUCAAUAAGCGGAGGA
RNAcentral lists this unclassified non-coding RNA (367 nucleotides) under soil metagenome. RNAcentral describes it as "partial contains 5.8S ribosomal RNA, internal transcribed spacer 2, and large subunit ribosomal RNA". The stretch from base 1 to 121 matches the Rfam family "5.8S ribosomal RNA", at positions 35 to 154 of the family's 154-position model. The record is from RNAcentral.